AGUGAACGCUGGCGGUAGGCCUAACACAUGCAAGUCGAACGGCCGCACAGUAAGAGCUUGCUCUUACGGGUGGCGAGUGGCGGACGGGUGAGGAAUACAUCGGAAUCUACUUUUUCGUGGGUGAUAACGUAGGGAAACUUACGCUAAUACCGCAUACGACCUACGGGUGAAAGCAGGGGAUCUUCGGACCUUGCGCGAUUGAAUGAGCCGAUGUCGGAUUAGCUAGUUGGCUGGGUAAGGGCCCACCAAGGCGACGAUCCGUAGCUGGUCUGAGAGGAUGAUCAGCCACACUGGAACUGAGACACGGUCCAGACUCCUACGGGAGGCAGCAGUGGGGAAUAUUGGACAAUGGGCGAAAGCCUGAUCCAGCAAUACCGCGUGGGUGAAGAAGGCCUUCGGGUUGUAAAGCCCUUUUGUUGGGAAAGAAAAGCAGCAGGUUAAUACCCCGCUGUUCUGACGGUACCCAAAGAAUAAGCACCGGCUAACUUCGUG
Molecule: ribosomal RNA, 492 nt
Filed under: uncultured bacterium
Lineage: Bacteria
Description: partial 16S ribosomal RNA
Rfam family: Bacterial small subunit ribosomal RNA
Source: RNAcentral